ACGAACGCUGGCGGCAGGCUUAACACAUGCAAGUCGAACGGGUGUCGCAAGACACCAGUGGCAGACGGGUGAGUAACACGUGGGAACCUUCCUAGGGGUACGGAACAACUCGGGGAAACUUGAGCUAAUACCGUAUACGUCCGUAAGGAGAAAGAUUCAUCGCCCCUAGACGGGCCCGCGUCGGAUUAGGUAGUUGGUGGGGUAACGGCCUACCAAGCCUACGAUCCGUAGCUGAUCUGAGAGGAUGAUCAGCCACACUGGGACUGAGACACGGCCCAGACUCCUACGGGAGGCAGCAGUGGGGAAUCUUGCGCAAUGGGCGAAAGCCUGACGCAGCGACGCCGCGUGAGGGAUGACGGCCUUCGGUUGU
This 370-nucleotide ribosomal RNA is filed under the name uncultured bacterium. Its description in RNAcentral is "bacterial SSU rRNA". It matches the Rfam family "Bacterial small subunit ribosomal RNA", at positions 29 to 426 of the family's 1533-position model. The record is from RNAcentral.